UCCGGUUUGUCACCGGCAGUCCCAUUAGAGUGCCCAACUAAAUGCUGGCAACUAGAAGCGAGGGUUGCGCUCGUUGCGGGACUUAACCCAACAUCUCACGACACGAGCUGACGACAGCCGUGCAGCAUCUGUGGUGCACCCUCGAAGGUCACACGUUUCCGUGCGCUUGCAGCACCAUGUCAAGUCCAGGUAAGGUUCUUCGCGUUGCAUCGAAUUAAAGAACAUGCUCCGCUGCUUGUGCGGGCCCCCGUCAAUUCUUUUGAGUUUUAGCCUUGCGGCCGUACUCCCCAGGCGGGGCACUUAAUGCGUUAGCUACGGCACAGAAACCCACACAAGGGUCCCCACACCUAGCGCCCAACGUUUACAGCAUGGACUAC
RNAcentral lists this unclassified non-coding RNA (377 nucleotides) under uncultured Actinomycetes bacterium. Its description in RNAcentral is "uncultured actinobacterium contains 16S-23S intergenic spacer region". Lineage: Bacteria; Bacillati; Actinomycetota; Actinomycetes. The record is from RNAcentral.